UACAGAGGGUGCAAGCGUUAAUCGGAAUUACCGGGCGUAAAGCGCGCGUAGGUGGUUUGUUAAGUUGGAUGUGAAAGCCCCGGGCUCAACCUGGGAACUGCAUCCAAAACUGGCAAGCUAGAGUUUUGAAGAGGGUGGUAGAAUUUCCAGUGUAGCGGUGAAAUGCGUAGAUAUUGGAAGGAAUACCAGUGGCGAAGGCGGCCUUCUGGUCUGACACUGACGCUGAGGUGCGAAAGCGUGGGUAGCAAACAGG
Molecule: unclassified non-coding RNA, 253 nt
Filed under: uncultured Pseudomonadaceae bacterium
Lineage: Bacteria; Pseudomonadati; Pseudomonadota; Gammaproteobacteria; Pseudomonadales; Pseudomonadaceae
Description: contains 16S-23S intergenic spacer region
Rfam family: Bacterial small subunit ribosomal RNA
Source: RNAcentral